RNAcentral lists this long non-coding RNA (780 nucleotides) under Setaria viridis. Its description in RNAcentral is "long non-coding RNA (SVIR_LNC010920)". Lineage: Eukaryota; Viridiplantae; Streptophyta; Magnoliopsida; Poales; Poaceae. The record is from RNAcentral.
CGCGUCGCCAGCCGCCGGUCGCCACCGUCCUACCGCACGUCACGCCAGCCAUCACCUUAGUGGACUCCCUGUGCUCCUCGUCGACCGAGCCACCACGCCAUCCACGAGGACGUCCACUCCGGCACGCCACUGGCCGGAAGUCCGACCGCCAUCAUCACCUCCGACCUCCGCCUGCCCCUCCCAUCGCCUAUAAAAGGGGCCGAGGCCACCCGCCCCUACCACCACCUCGCCUGGCCUCCUAGCUCGCCCCCCCUUCUCCACCGACCCCGUGCGCCGCCACCAGAGCUCCGCUCGCCGCCCUUUUUUCCCACGCCGGCCCCCUCGCUUCCCAUCGCCGAAUCCCCAAGGUGAGGGUCAAAAUGGAGUCCCCUCGGUCUCCUCUACCUCCCCCGCCGCUUGGUCUCACCGCCGGCAAGCUUGACCGGCCGGCCCACCACCGGGUUGCCUCCUACCUCCCUGUACCCGUGCUCCAGGAAGAAGAAGGGGGAGAAUCCCCUUCAAUUUCGAUCUAACCCCCUCCUUUCCUCUAAUUACAAACCAGCCCUCCUACCUCUCUCAAAGAAGUUUCGUGAAUACACCCUUCCACCUUCCAGAAAUAAUUACAAAUAGGUCCCUGGUUCUCACAAUUUAGUCCUAAAACCUCAUUUUAAGCCCCUAACACUCCUUUAACUCAUCAUUUCAUGCGCCAAACUUUCUCCAAUUGAUCCCAAAUUCGACCACGCCUCCUCCCAUAUACUUCCACCAAGGCAUACCCAAAUUUCAUGAAAAUACUCACCCCAC